UGAGGAAUAUUGGUCAAUGGACGCAAGUCUGAGCCAGCCAAGUAGCGUGCAGGAUGACGGCCCUAUGGGUUGUAAACUGCUUUUAUAUGGGGAUAAAGUGGGGAACGUGUUCCCUUUUGCAGGUACCAUAUGAAUAAGGACCGGCUAAUUCCGUGCCAGCAGCCGCGGUAAUACGGAAGGUCCAGGCGUUAUCCGGAUUUAUUGGGUUUAAAGGGAGCGUAGGCUGUUUGUUAAGCGUGUUGUGAAAUGUAGGAGCUCAACUUUUAGAUUGCAGCGCGAACUGGCAGACUUGAGUGCGCACAACGUAGGCGGAAUUCAUGGUGUAGCGGUGAAAUGCUUAGAUAUCAUGACGAACUCCGAUUGCGAAGGCAGCUUACGGGAGCGCAACUGACGCUAAAGCUCGAAGGUGCGUGUAUCGAACAGG
RNAcentral lists this ribosomal RNA (424 nucleotides) under Verrucomicrobiota bacterium. RNAcentral describes it as "Verrucomicrobia bacterium partial 16S ribosomal RNA". It matches the Rfam family "Bacterial small subunit ribosomal RNA", at positions 355 to 776 of the family's 1533-position model. Lineage: Bacteria; Pseudomonadati; Verrucomicrobiota. The record is from RNAcentral.